UUUUAUGAGAGUUUGAUCCUGGCUCAGGACGAACGCUGGCGGCGUGCCUAAUACAUGCAAGUCGAACGCUUCUUUUUCCACCGGAGCUUGCUCCACCGGAAAAAGAGGAGUGGCGAACGGGUGAGUAACACGUGGGUAACCUGCCCAUCAGAAGGGGAUAACACUUGGAAACAGGUGCUAAUACCGUAUAACAAUCAAAACCGCAUGGUUUUGAUUUGAAAGGCGCUUUCGGGUGUCGCUGAUGGAUGGACCCGCGGUGCAUUAGCUAGUUGGUGAGGUAACGGCUCACCAAGGCCACGAUGCAUAGCCGACCUGAGAGGGUGAKCGGCCACAUUGGGACUGAGACACGGC
This 351-nucleotide ribosomal RNA is filed under the name Enterococcus faecium. Its description in RNAcentral is "bacterial SSU rRNA". It matches the Rfam family "Bacterial small subunit ribosomal RNA", at positions 1 to 330 of the family's 1533-position model. Lineage: Bacteria; Bacillati; Bacillota; Bacilli; Lactobacillales; Enterococcaceae. The record is from RNAcentral.